AGCCUGCAACUGCCUGGUGGGGUUUGCAGAGGACCCUUGACUUUGGUGUCUGUGGCUUGUUCUGCUCUAGCAACUUCUCAGUCUUUAUCUCCUCAGUUAGCAUAUUCCUCUCUAUAAAAGGAAAAAAACAGGCUUUCUUCUAAAAAAAUCUUCUCUGCUUUCUACCCACAUCAACCCAAGGAGCCAGUAGGCAUAAAAGACUUUCCCUCCGUUCAAAAAAGAUAGAUAAGAUUAUUUACCAAUAGUUGUACCAUGUGAGGAAACUUCGAGUUUUUCUCUGAAAAGAUUUAAUGAUAUUCUGCGUUCCCAGGUGGUGGUAGGUGUAAAGAACCUGCAUGCCAGUUUUUACAAAAGAUGUAAGAGAAGCAGUUUUGAUCCCUGGGUCAGCAAGAUCCCCUGGAGGAGGGCAUGGGUACCCAUUCCAGUAUUCUCUCUUGAAGAAUCCCAUGGACAGAGGACCCUGGUGGGCUACAGUUCAUAGGGUCUCAAAAAGUCGGACACGGCCGAAGCCAUUUAGCACGCACGUUCUUCACAAUGAUCUAAGGACUCACACAGGAGCAAGGCGAAGUGGGAGUUUUUCUGAAAUAGAAGUGGUUCUGGAGCUUAGAUAUGAAACACCCAGCUCCUUCCUCUCCUUUCCCAGUGAGGAAAUGGCCAUUAAUUGCAGUCCUUAAGGUAAUAGUAUCAUCAUUCCUUAAUAUUGCUGGUUCAAUAUUUUGAGACAGUAAGAAUGAAAAUAAAUAGCAAAGAAAACAUUCAUAGGAUCAAAUUUGUGACUGACACAAAACACUGAAAGAAGGGGCACUAAGAAAUUAUUCUGCGCGUAAGGCAUCCACAGAAAGAUGAAGAAAAGAAGUUCAAAAAAUGCCAGGAUGAUGCAAAGAAGGAAGGGUCUGUCUAUCUGAUCCAGUAUUCCGAGGCAGUUGUGGGCCACCCAGUGGGAGUAGGCGGCGAGCAUGGAUUGUUCCUCUCCAUGAAUGAAACCAUACUGACCUUGCAGACGAUCCUCUCUCUUUACCUCUGGAUACAGUUCUUACACUAGUCAGAAUCAUCUAUGGGAGCUUUGGAAAGUGGAAUUAAAUCUAAUCUAACCUCAGCAACAUUGAGGUUAAAAAGUAUCAGAAGAUGGUGUACUCUGGUUGCCAGGAGGAACACGGUGUGGAGAGGGUGGGCAUCAAACUGCCAUGGCUGUGAUUCAGACAUGAGGACAUGGUAACAGUAGCAAAGAACAAAAGGAGACAUGAGACACAUUUCAAAGGCAAGAUCUGUAUGGCUUAGUGAUUGAUGAGAUAUGGAGCUCUAUAUAGAAGUUUCCUUGAGGACAGUAUUUGUGCCCUAGACAAGCUACAGUGGCUAACACGGUACCUGCCAAUCAAAUGUGCUUUGAAUGAAAUGGGCUGAAGAUGAUUGUUAGGCUGGGAGAAAUCUGGUGCCAUUAACAAGAUUAAAAGAUAAAGAAAGCAAG
This is a long non-coding RNA of Bos taurus (domestic cattle), 1465 nucleotides long. Lineage: Eukaryota; Metazoa; Chordata; Mammalia; Artiodactyla; Bovidae. The record is from Ensembl.